CAUAGGGCUGUCUCUUCACUCUCCCACCCGUCAUUGAACAUGUCGUGGUCGGGAUGCUUCCGAUCGGUUGCCUGUGCGGUUCUACCCUCUUGUGGGUAGCGAACUCGUCCCUUGAUGGAUAUAUGCUUGCCCUUGUGACAUUUUUGUGUCGUUUGGGCAGCCGAAAUGUUGGCGAUAUCCUUGUGUUGGCGCGUGGUUGAAUGCUGUGUUGCUAUCACUUGGAUUUUUGCCGGCUCUCACGGAUGCGGUGCCUAGCGCUAGCUCUGCGGGACUUUGCCCCGCAGACUUCGGGAGGUCCCUUGUACGAAUCAUUGCUCUUAUACGCCGUCUUGUYGUGCCGCUACCGUGGCACGCAGAUCGUGUUCUUUCGUGCAGUCGUUGACAGCACGAAAGCGAACAUUAGUGUCCGGAGCGUGGUCUUGUGCACGUGGAAUGCCUCUCCGAUCGUAUGAGUAGCG
RNAcentral lists this unclassified non-coding RNA (458 nucleotides) under Carex otayae. Its description in RNAcentral is "partial miscellaneous RNA". The record is from RNAcentral. Lineage: Eukaryota; Viridiplantae; Streptophyta; Magnoliopsida; Poales; Cyperaceae.